Molecule: ribosomal RNA, 478 nt
Filed under: uncultured bacterium
Lineage: Bacteria
Description: partial 16S ribosomal RNA
Rfam family: Bacterial small subunit ribosomal RNA
Source: RNAcentral
GACGAACGCUGGCGGCGUGCUUGACACAUGCAAGUCGAACGGUAAGGCCCCUCGGGGUACACGAGUGGCGAACGGGUGAGUAACACGUGGGUGAUCUGCCCUGCACAUCGGGAUAAGCCUGGGAAACUGGGUCUAAUACCGGAUAGGACCACUGCCUGCAUGGGUGGUGGUGGAAAGCUUUUGCGGUGUGGGAUGGGCCCGCGGCCUAUCAGCUUGUUGGUGGGGUGAUGGCCUACCAAGGCGACGACGGGUAGCCGGCCUGAGAGGGUGACCGGCCACACUGGGACUGAGAUACGGCCCAGACUCCUACGGGAGGCAGCAGUGGGGAAUAUUGCACAAUGGGCGCAAGCCUGAUGCAGCGACGCCGCGUGAGGGAUGACGGCCUCCGGGUUGUAAACCUCUUUCAGCACCGACGAAGCGCAAGUGACGGUAGGUGCAGAAGAAGGACCGGCCAACUACGUGCCAGCCGCCGCGGUAA